CAAGCCACUUUAGCAACAACCAAAGAAUCAACCUCCACGUUUACUUUGCCAAAGCCACUAUCCCAAGCUAACCUUAAGCCUUGAAUAACAGCCCAAACCUCUGUGCUUCCAGAGCCAAACACACUCCAGCAUUGAUGGUCCGUUAGCGUUUCUGUUUAACCCACCACCCCCAGCAACAUGAGAAUCACUCCUUACUAGCCCC
Molecule: long non-coding RNA, 202 nt
Filed under: Ricinus communis (castor bean)
Lineage: Eukaryota; Viridiplantae; Streptophyta; Magnoliopsida; Malpighiales; Euphorbiaceae
Description: long non-coding RNA (RCOM_LNC000499)
Source: RNAcentral